GACGAACGCUGGCGGCGUGCUUAACACAUGCAAGUCGAACGAUGAAGAAAAGAAUCGAAGCUUCGGCAGAAAUUCAUUUCGGAUUAGUGGCAGACGGGUGAGUAACGCGUGAGCAACCCACCUCUUACAAAGGGAUAGCCUCGGGAAACCGGGAUUAAUACCAUAUAACAUUGCGACGAAGCAUUUCGAUGCAAUCAAAGCUACGGCGGUAAGAGAUGGGCUCGCGUCCCAUUAACCGGAUGGUGAGGUAACGGCUCACCAUAGUGACGAUGGGUAACCGGCCUGAGAGGGUGAACGGUCACACUGGAACUGAGACACGGUCCAGACUCCUACGGGAGGCAGCAGUGGGGAAUAUUGCACAAUGGAGGGAACUCUGAUGCAGCGACGCCGCGUGAGUGAUGAAGGAAUUCGUUUCGUAAAACUCUGUUCUAUGGGAAGAAAAGGACUGUACCAUAGGAGAAAGCUCCGGCUAAAUACGUG
Molecule: ribosomal RNA, 480 nt
Filed under: uncultured bacterium
Lineage: Bacteria
Description: partial 16S ribosomal RNA
Rfam family: Bacterial small subunit ribosomal RNA
Source: RNAcentral